CAAAGGUUUGGUCCUGGCCUUCCUAUUAGUUAUUAACAGAAUUACACAUGCAAGCCUCCACAUCCCGGUGAAGAUGCCCUCUAAAUCCAUAAACGAUUAAAAGGAGCGGGCAUCAGGCACACUAAAUAAGUAGCCCAUAACGCCUUGCUCAACCACACCCCCACGGGAUACAGCAGUGAUAAAAAUUAAGCCAUGAACGAAAGUUUGACUAAGCCAUGUUAAUAUUAAGAGUUGGUAAAUUUCGUGCCAGCCACCGCGGUCAUACGAUUAACCCAAAUUAAUAGGCUCACGGCGUAAAACGUGCUAAGGAUUACAAAACACUAAAGUUAAAAUUUAACCAGGCUGUAAAAAGCUACUGUUAAUAUAAAAUAUACCACGAAAGUGACUUUAUCAUCUCCAACAACACGAUAGCUGGGACCCAAACUGGGAUUAGAUACCCCACUAUGCCCAGCCCUAAACACAAACAAUUUACACAACAAAAU
This 482-nucleotide ribosomal RNA is filed under the name Martes zibellina (sable). RNAcentral's name for it is "partial 12S ribosomal RNA". The record is from RNAcentral. Lineage: Eukaryota; Metazoa; Chordata; Mammalia; Carnivora; Mustelidae.